Molecule: ribosomal RNA, 911 nt
Filed under: Usnea wasmuthii
Lineage: Eukaryota; Fungi; Ascomycota; Lecanoromycetes; Lecanorales; Parmeliaceae
Description: eukaryotic LSU rRNA
Rfam family: Eukaryotic large subunit ribosomal RNA
Source: RNAcentral
ACUUAAGCAUAUCAAUAAGCGGAGGAAAAGAAACCAACAGGGAUUGCCUUAGUAACGGCGAGUGAAGCGGCAACAGCUCAAAUUUGAAAUCUGGCCCCGUCGGGGUCCGAGUUGUAAUUUGUAGAGAGUGUUUCGGGCGAGACCACGGUCUAAGUCUAUUGGAACAUGGCGUCAUAGAGGGUGAGAAUCCCGUAUGUGACCGUGGCUCGAGCCCAUGUGAAGCCUCUUCGACGAGUCGAGUUGUUUGGGAAUGCAGCUCAAAAUGGGUGGUAAAUUUCAUCUAAAGCUAAAUACUGGCUGGAGACCGAUAGCGCACAAGUAGAGUGAUCGAAAGAUGAAAAGCACUUUGGAAAGAGAGUCAAAAAGUACGUGAAAUUGUUGAAAGGGAAGCGCUUGCAACCAGACCUGUCCGUAGGUGAUCAGCCGCUGUUCUCAGUGGUGCACUCGCUCUGCGAUCAGGCCAGCAUCGGUUCCGGCGGUCGGAUAAAGGCCUUGGGAAUGUAGCUCCCUUCGGGGAGUCUUAUAGCCCUCGGUGCAAUGCGGCCAGCCGGGACCGAGGACCGCGCUUCGGCUAGGAUGCUGGCGUAAUGGUUGUAAGCGACCCGUCUUGAAACACGGACCAAGGAGUCUAACAUCUAUGCGAGUGUUUGGGUGUUAAACCCAUGCGCGGAAUGAAAGUGAACGGAGGUGAGAACCCUUUAGGGCGCAUCAUCGACCGAUCCAGAUGUCUUCGGAUGGAUUUGAGUAUGAGCAUAGCUGUUGGGACCCGAAAGAUGGUGAACUAUGCCUGAAUAGGGUGAAGCCAGAGGAAACUCUGGUGGAGGCUCGCAGCGGUUCUGACGUGCAAAUCGAUCGUCAAAUUUGGGUAUAGGGGCGAAAGACUAAUCGAACCAUCUAGUAGCUGGUUCCUG